AAGACCUUGCACUUUUGGAGCGGCCGAUGUCUGAUUAGCUAGUUGGUGGGGUAAUGGCCUACCAAAGCUUCGAUCAGUAGCUGGUCUGAGAGGACGGCCAGCCACACUGGGACUGAGACACGGCCCAGACUCCUACGGGAGGCAGCAGUGGGGAAUUUUGGACAAUGGGCGCAAGCCUGAUCCAGCCAUGCCGCGUGAGUGAAGAAGGCCUUCGGGUUGUAAAGCUCUUUCAGCCGGGAAGAAAAGGUUGCGAUUAAUAAUCGCAAUUUAUGACGGUACCGGAAGAAGAAGCACCGGCUAACUACGUGCCAGCAGCCGCGGUAAUACGUAGGGUGCGAGCGUUAAUCGGAAUUACUGGGCGUAAAGGGUGCGCAGGCGGUUUUGUAAGACAGAUGUGAAAUCCCCGGGCUUAACCUGGGAACU
Molecule: ribosomal RNA, 423 nt
Filed under: uncultured bacterium
Lineage: Bacteria
Description: bacterial SSU rRNA
Rfam family: Bacterial small subunit ribosomal RNA
Source: RNAcentral